Molecule: ribosomal RNA, 253 nt
Filed under: uncultured bacterium
Lineage: Bacteria
Description: partial 16S ribosomal RNA
Rfam family: Bacterial small subunit ribosomal RNA
Source: RNAcentral
UACGAGGGGGGCGAGCGUUGUUCGGAAUUAUUGGGCGUAAAGCGCACGUAGGCGGCUUUGUAAGUUAGAGGUGAAAGCCUGGAGCUCAACUCCAGAAUUGCCUUUAAGACUGCAUCGCUCGAAUCCGGGAGAGGUGAGUGGAAUUCCGAGUGUAGAGGUGAAAUUCGUAGAUAUUCGGAAGAACACCAGUGGCGAAGGCGGCUCACUGGACCGGUAUUGACGCUGAGGUGCGAAAGCGUGGGGAGCAAACAGU